RNAcentral lists this ribosomal RNA (681 nucleotides) under bacterium SA029. RNAcentral's name for it is "bacterial SSU rRNA". It matches the Rfam family "Bacterial small subunit ribosomal RNA", at positions 83 to 760 of the family's 1533-position model. The record is from RNAcentral.
CUUCUCUUGAGAGCGGCGGACGGGUGAGUAAUGCCUAGGAAUCUGCCUGGUAGUGGGGGAUAACGCUCGGAAACGGACGCUAAUACCGCAUACGUCCUACGGGAGAAAGCAGGGGACCUUCGGGCCUUGCGCUAUCAGAUGAGCCUAGGUCGGAUUAGCUAGUUGGUGAGGUAAUGGCUCACCAAGGCGACGAUCCGUAACUGGUCUGAGAGGAUGAUCAGUCACACUGGAACUGAGACACGGUCCAGACUCCUACGGGAGGCAGCAGUGGGGAAUAUUGGACAAUGGGCGAAAGCCUGAUCCAGCCAUGCCGCGUGUGUGAAGAAGGUCUUCGGAUUGUAAAGCACUUUAAGUUGGGAGGAAGGGCAGUAACCUAAUACGUUGCGGUCUUGACGUUACCGACAGAAUAAGCACCGGCUAACUCUGUGCCAGCAGCCGCGGUAAUACAGAGGGUGCAAGCGUUAAUCGGAAUUACUGGGCGUAAAGCGCGCGUAGGUGGUUUGUUAAGUUGGAUGUGAAAUCCCCGGGCUCAACCUGGGAACUGCAUUCAAAACUGACAAGCUAGAGUAUGGUAGAGGGUGGUGGAAUUUCCUGUGUAGCGGUGAAAUGCGUAGAUAUAGGAAGGAACACCAGUGGCGAAGGCGACCACCUGGACUGAUACUGACACUGAGGUGCGAAAGC